CAUGCAAGUCGAACGGAAAGUGCCCUUCGGGGUGACUCGAGUGGCGAACGGGUGAGUAACACGUGGGUGAUCUGCCCUGCACUUUGGGAUAAGCCUGGGAAACUGGGUCUAAUACCGAAUACACCCUGCUGGUCGCAUGGCCUGGUGGGGGAAAGCUUUUGCGGUGUGGGAUGGGCCCGCGGCCUAUCAGCUUGUUGGUGGGGUGAUGGCCUACCAAGGCGACGACGGGUAGCCGGCCUGAGAGGGUGUCCGGCCACACUGGGACUGAGAUACGGCCCAGACUCCUACGGGAGGCAGCAGUGGGGAAUAUUGCACAAUGGGCGCAAGCCUGAUGCAGCGACGCCGCGUGAGGGAUGACGGCCUUCGGGUUGUAAACCUCUUUCAGUUCCGACGAAGCGGAAGUGACGGUAGGUACAGAAGAAGCACCGGCCAACUACGUGCCAGCAGCCGCGGUAAUACGUAGGGUGCGAGCGUUGUCCGGAAUUACUGGGCGUAAAGAGCUCGUAGGUGGUUUGUCGCGUUGUUCGUGAAAACUCACA
RNAcentral lists this ribosomal RNA (539 nucleotides) under uncultured Mycobacterium sp. RNAcentral's name for it is "bacterial SSU rRNA". It matches the Rfam family "Bacterial small subunit ribosomal RNA", at positions 54 to 606 of the family's 1533-position model. The record is from RNAcentral. Lineage: Bacteria; Bacillati; Actinomycetota; Actinomycetes; Mycobacteriales; Mycobacteriaceae.